RNAcentral lists this long non-coding RNA (240 nucleotides) under Olea europaea (common olive). Its description in RNAcentral is "long non-coding RNA (OEUR_LNC012283)". Lineage: Eukaryota; Viridiplantae; Streptophyta; Magnoliopsida; Lamiales; Oleaceae. The record is from RNAcentral.
AUACUCCUAAAUCAAGCGUUUUAUAUUAUAUAAACACAAUAAAUUAAGGAUUGAAACUCUAAUUUACAAACCCAUUUCAAACUUAAAUGUAUAUAUCAAUAAUCAUUAAUUUUUAGAAAGCCUCAAUUUUGAGAAAUUUUUCCAUAAACCCUAAAAAUUCAAUUAACCUCAUUUUUACUUACCUUUGGAAGAUAAGGAGAAUUAAUGGAUGAAAAUUUAAAAGCAAACACCUAUUCCAUC